RNAcentral lists this transfer-messenger RNA (207 nucleotides) under Acidobacteriota bacterium. Its description in RNAcentral is "Acidobacteria bacterium partial transfer-messenger RNA". It matches the Rfam family "transfer-messenger RNA", at positions 1 to 225 of the family's 374-position model. Rfam says of the family: Bacterial tmRNA, also known as 10Sa RNA or SsrA, is named for its dual tRNA and mRNA-like properties. Its role is to liberate the mRNA from a stalled ribosome. To accomplish this part of the tmRNA is used as a reading frame that ends in a translation stop signal. The record is from RNAcentral. Lineage: Bacteria; Pseudomonadati; Acidobacteriota.
GGGGGCGAAACGGCUUCGACGGGGAUCGUGAAGCCGGGGUUGCACGCCGAGGUCCCACAUACCUCGUAAAACCGUGGACUUAAACUCAAGUGCCAACGAUAACGUUGCACUGGCUGCGUAAAAACUCGUAGCCCGUCCGCCGCUUCCUCCUCCCGCUGGAAGCGGGCCGGGCGCCGAUUCGCGGGAUGGUCAUUGGAUCUGCCUGGU